RNAcentral lists this small RNA (76 nucleotides) under Xanthomonas campestris pv. badrii. Its description in RNAcentral is "sX9 sRNA". It matches the Rfam family "Xanthomonas sRNA sX9". The record is from RNAcentral. Lineage: Bacteria; Pseudomonadati; Pseudomonadota; Gammaproteobacteria; Lysobacterales; Lysobacteraceae.
AUGUGCCACGCGUACAACUCCGAUUCUGCGCGCCGUCCGCACCCACCUGGCGACCGCUCGCUACGUGUUGGGUGCC